ACAUGUAACUUAACAAAGCAAUGUACCCUAAAAUCCAUAUCUGUAGGAUCUGUGUUGGGACUGUGCACAUCUGUAUCUGCAAUUUGUCUCCUGUCAUCAUCAUCAUCUCAAUUUUCUCCAAUUCAUGGUUCGGUUUCAAAUGAUAUAUUGGCAAAAGUUCUAUAGUUGGCUGUCCACUGGACAUCAACCCUCUCUUUUACUGAACUUGCCAUGACAGAGGCUAACAUUGACACCACUCACAUGCAAGCAUGAUUCCACCCAAUAUUGACCCCCAAGCCAACUAUCAGAUGCACACCCCAAAGGGUGAGCAAGCAUAGUUAUUGGGGUGUAGUUUCAAUGCAAACCACUAAGCAGAAUUAUUCUUUUUAUUGCAGGCUAAUGCUUUUGCAAAGAAGCUUGGCUAUGCCUCGCCACUUCAAGCGGGCCUAGUGAAAUUGCAGGCCCUUCUUUUGGGAUGAGGAAUAUAUGUUACCUUGUGAAAAAAGCAGAGAAGAAAUGGUGGAGUAGGCUGUUAAAGCAGGAAGGGAAGCCUCAUGUGUUUUUGAAAGUAGACUGGAACCAAUGGGUCGAUGAAGAUGAAGAGCAAGAACACAAAUCUGGAGAUGACAUGGACUUCGGUGGCAUGGAUUUCUCAGUAUGUAGCCAAGUCUGCUUGUGAAAAACCAUAAGAAUGUGCAGUUAUACAAGUGAAGCUUUUGUUUGAUGACUUUUUCUAAUCCCACAGUCACUUCUAUACAUGGAUGAGUAAGCAGUGCAUCAGGUUUCUCUCCCUAUUUAAAAAUUACAUGAUGCUGUCCAUCAACUCAUUAGGUGGGCCACACAAGUAUGGUAGAAUUUUUUUGGUAUCCGCCAAUAGUAUUUCUUUGCCUUGAGUAAUAGGUGUUCCUUAUAUGCAUAUUACUUGAUAUUUGUUAGUCUUGUUACCAAACAGGGGCUUGUCACACAAGUUUUGUAUAUUGAUAAAUAUUUUUAAUUGAAAACAUUUGAAGCUAUCUAUCUUGUAGUUUGAAGACUUGCUUUAAUGAUCCAAAUAGGAGUCUGUUGAAUU
Molecule: long non-coding RNA, 1048 nt
Organism: Magnolia sinica
Lineage: Eukaryota; Viridiplantae; Streptophyta; Magnoliopsida; Magnoliales; Magnoliaceae
Exons: 3
Source: RefSeq, a predicted model, not a curated record